Molecule: ribosomal RNA, 375 nt
Filed under: uncultured organism
Description: partial 16S ribosomal RNA
Rfam family: Bacterial small subunit ribosomal RNA
Source: RNAcentral
GUAGGUGGCAAGCGUUGUCCGGAAUUAUUGGGCGUAAAGCGCGCGCAGGCGGUCCUUUAAGUCUGAUGUGAAAGCCCACGGCUCAACCGUGGAGGGUCAUUGGAAACUGGGGGACUUGAGUACAGAAGAGGAAAGCGGAAUUCCAAGUGUAGCGGUGAAAUGCGUAGAGAUUUGGAGGAACACCAGUGGCGAAGGCGGCUUUCUGGUCUGUAACUGACGCUGAGGCGCGAAAGCGUGGGGAGCAAACAGGGAUUAGAUACCCUGGUAGUCCACGCCGUAAACGAUGAGUGCUAAGUGUUAGGGGGGUUUCCCGCCCCUUAGUGCUGCAGCUAACGCAUUAAGCACUCCGCCUGGGGAGUACGGCCCGCAAGGCUG